Molecule: ribosomal RNA, 253 nt
Filed under: uncultured bacterium
Lineage: Bacteria
Description: partial 16S ribosomal RNA
Rfam family: Bacterial small subunit ribosomal RNA
Source: RNAcentral
UACGUAGGGUGCGAGCGUUGUCCGGAAUUACUGGGCGUAAAGAGCUCGUAGGUGGUUUGUCGCGUUGUUCGUGAAAACCGGGGGCUUAACCCUCGGCGUGCGGGCGAUACGGGCAGACUUGAGUACUGCAGGGGAGACUGGAAUUCCUGGUGUAGCGGUGAAAUGCGCAGAUAUCAGGAGGAACACCGGUGGCGAAGGCGGAUCUCUGGGCCAUUACUGACGCUGAGGAGCGAAAGCGUGGGGAGCGAACAGG